RNAcentral lists this ribosomal RNA (1638 nucleotides) under Triticum aestivum (bread wheat). RNAcentral's name for it is "partial small subunit ribosomal RNA". Lineage: Eukaryota; Viridiplantae; Streptophyta; Magnoliopsida; Poales; Poaceae. The record is from RNAcentral.
AUGGAACGAAGCAGCCGAUCAAUCACAGCCACAGACAGGGUCGUUCCCCGUCCUCCUCCGCCCGCCGCCGCCCGCCGCCCGCCGCCUAUGCUUUCCUCUCCCGGGAACCCGCAUCCACGAUACUUAUUUGACCAAAAGCUUGUUAGAGACUUGCCUGUGAUACUGGUGAAUACUGAUCAAGCAAAAGACUCUGACAGCAUGGAAACAUACACUACGGAUGACGCGCUUUCAGCCAUGGGGUUUGGCAGAUUCCAGGCGCUUGUUCUUGCUUAUGCAGGAAUGGGUUGGGUUGUAGAAGCCAUGGAGCUCAACCUACUGUCAUUUGUUGGACCGUUGGUUCGGGAGGAGUGGAAAGUCUCUGCCCAAGAUGAGAGCCUACUCUCAAGUGUGGUCUUUGCCGGCAUGCUAACCGGCUCAUGUGCUUGGGGCUUUGUUUCUGACAGAUAUGGUCGAAGGACCGUUUUGCUGUUUUCAGCUCUGUUCACUAGCGGAAUGGGCUUCUUGAGUGCCUGGUCUCCCAACUAUUUAUGCUUGAUCGCUCUUCGGUUUCUCGUCGGCGUGGGAGUGGGUGGCGGGCAUGUGUUCUCAUCUUGGUUUUUGGAGUUUGUUCCUGCCCAAAAUCGUGGCACUUGCGUGGUUCUUUUUUCGCUUUUUUGGACUAUCGGCACCGUCUUGGAGGCUUCACUUGCAUGGGUUGUCAUAUCGGCAUUGAAUUGGCGGUGGUUGCUAGUAUUGACCUCCAUUCCAUGCUUCCUCUUGCUUCCAUUCUUUCGAAUAAUACCUGAAUCACCACGCUAUCUUUGUGCACAAAAUAGAAUGUCAGACGCUACACUUGUCCUGGAGAGUGUCUCUAUGAUAAACCAAGAAGAUCUUCCUCCUGGAGUUCUCACAUACCGCCGUGAAAGUAAAGUUGACACUCUUACAUCUGAGACCGAAAUAGAUCAUCUUCUUCCAGUCAGAGAGACAGAAUGCAAAGCUAACAAUGCCUUGAGCUUCAAAUCUGGCGCCGCUGCUGCACUGCGAAGGCUAUUGUCGCCAGCAUUGCGCCGAUCAACUCUUCUUCUUUGGUUUGUUUACUUUGCAAAUUCCUUUGCAUAUUAUGGGGUGGUCUUGCUGACAUCUCAGCUGAGCGAUGCCAAUACAAACUGCCCAUCUGGGCUGACAACUGUACAACGUCAAGAAGAUGCUAACCUUUACAGGGAUACAUUUGUUACGAGUUUAGCAGAGAUUCCUGGUCUAAUUGUAUCUGCCAUUCUUGUUGAAUGGAUUGGCCGGAAAGCUACAAUGUGGUCCAUGCUCUUCACUUGUUGUGCUUUCCUUGGGCCACUAGUACUUCAUCAGGAUGAGCUACUUACAACUGCACUCCUAUUCGGUGCUCGCGCAUGUGCCAUGGGUAGCUCCACAGUUCUAUGUUUAUAUGCCCCAGAGGUAUAUCCAACAUCAGUCCGCUCGACCGGUGUUGGGCUAGCAACCUCCAUUGGUAAAAUUGGUGGGGUUAUAUGCCCUCUUGUCGCUGUCGGCAUGCUACGGACCUGCCAUCAAAUGGAAGCCGUUUUUGUGUUUGAGCUGGUGUUAUGCCUCGCUGGAGUGGCCUGCAUUCUCUUCCCUGUAGAAACCAAGGGCCGUGAAAUUGACUGA